This 24-nucleotide non-coding RNA is filed under the name Arabidopsis thaliana (thale cress). The record is from RNAcentral. Lineage: Eukaryota; Viridiplantae; Streptophyta; Magnoliopsida; Brassicales; Brassicaceae.
AACUAUCAUUUCAUGGAUAUAUAC